RNAcentral lists this ribosomal RNA (1400 nucleotides) under Euduboscquella sp. ex Tintinnopsis cf. subacuta. RNAcentral's name for it is "LSU rRNA". It matches the Rfam family "Eukaryotic large subunit ribosomal RNA", at positions 1 to 1303 of the family's 3401-position model. Lineage: Eukaryota; Dinophyceae; Syndiniales; Eudubosquellidae. The record is from RNAcentral.
UGUGAUCUUUCUUAACCUGGUAUAAUGGAAGUUACCCUCUGAAUUUAAGCAUAUAAGUAAGUGGUGGAAAAGAAACUUCAAAGGAUUCUUCAAGUAAUGGCGAAUGAAGAAGGAAGAGCUCAUAACUAGAAGCAAAGCCUUGUGCUCUGCGUUGUAAUAUCUUGAUCCGUGACCAGCAGGGCGGCAUGUGUAUGUCUUUUGGAAAAAAGCGCAACGAAUGGUGAAAGCCCAGUUCAACACAUGUUUUGCCCGGCGUAACGUCCGGAAUCUCUGAGUCGCGUUCCCUGGGACGGGAGCGUAAAUUAGAUGGUAUAUUUCAUCUAAAGCUAAAUAUCUUCUCGAGUCCGAUAGAGAACAAGUACCAUGAGGGAAAGAUGAAAAGUACUUUGAAAAGAGGGUUAGACGCGCCUGCAACCACUGUAUUACAAGCACUUGGAUCCUUCCAGUUCGCUGGAUCAGUGAGUCGUUCGAAUCGCCAAGCGUGACCUAGUGGAUCGUGCGGUGUUUUGUCCAGGCUUGCGGAAUCCGGCAGAUACUAUCGGUGCAACUAACGGGUCUGUCAACCAAUCUCGUUGGACCGCUCCUUGAGUGGAUCGCGUGAUGUAGUCGCAGAUCUAAGUUUUGUUUUCUGGAAAGCUGCAUUUUCUUGCAUAGUUACUCUUCUAUUCAUUUGACUGCGUUUACGCUGAUCUUGGGUAGGGUUUAGCUGUAAGGUACAGUCUUUCCGCGGCGCCGAUUCGGUAAAGGUUUCAAAUGACCCGUCUUGAAACACGGACCAAGGAGUCCACACACGUGUGCGAGUACGUGCGGUGAAACCGUAUGUGCGGAAUGAAAGUGACAGUUACAAUUUACGUUUGUAGUAACAACCGACUUCGCUCCACGGAAAGAGGUUUGAGUGGGAGCACACCUGUUGGGACCCGAAAGAUGGUGAACUAUAUCUGAGGAGGGUGAAGCCAGGGGAAACCCUGGUGGAAGCUCGUAGCGAUACUGACGUGCAAAUCGUUCGUCACACUUGGACAUAGGGGCGAAAGACUAAUCGAACCAUCUAGUAGCUGGUUCCCUUCGAAGUUUCCCUCAGGAUAGCUGGUGUGAAGCAGUUUCAUCAGGUAAAGCGAAUGAUUAGAGGAUUCGGGGACGCGUUGUCUUCGACCUAUUCUCAAACUUUAAAUGGGUGCGUAGUGGAGAUUACUUCAGUGAAUCUCUACGGAUAAUGUGUACAUCUAGUGGGCCUUUUUUGGUAAGCAGAACUGGCGAUGAGGGAUGAACCUAACGGCGGUGUAAGGUGCUGAAUUGUUCGCUCAUCAGACACCAAGAAGGGUGUUGGUUCAUUUUGACAGCAGGACGGUGGUCAUGGAAGUAGAAACCCGCUUAGGAAUGUGUAACAACUCACCUGCCGAAUA